AGUCCAUGGUGAGGACACAUUCUCAACAAAUCCUUAAAUCUCUCCCAUGUAUCAUAACAGUCUCAAUAUCAAAUUGAAAAAAAGAAGAGAUGUCAAUCUUCAACUU
Gossypium raimondii (Peruvian cotton) is the source of this 106-nucleotide non-coding RNA. The record is from Rfam. NCBI's taxonomy places the organism in Eukaryota, Viridiplantae, Streptophyta, Magnoliopsida, Malvales, Malvaceae.